Molecule: ribosomal RNA, 640 nt
Filed under: Clostridium sp.
Lineage: Bacteria; Bacillati; Bacillota; Clostridia; Eubacteriales; Clostridiaceae
Description: bacterial SSU rRNA
Rfam family: Bacterial small subunit ribosomal RNA
Source: RNAcentral
UAGCCUUCCGAAAGGAAGAUUAAUACCGCAUAACAUGUUUUUAUCGCAUGGUAGAAACAUCAAAGGAGCAAUCCGCUAUAAGAUGGACCCGCGGCGCAUUAGCUAGUUGGUGAGGUAACGGCCCACCAAGGCGACGAUGCGUAGCCGACCUGAGAGGGUGAUCGGCCACAUUGGAACUGAGACACGGUCCAGACUCCUACGGGAGGCAGCAGUGGGGAAUAUUGCGCAAUGGGGGAAACCCUGACGCAGCAACGCCGCGUGAAUGAAGAAGGCCUUAGGGUUGUAAAGUUCUGUUUUCUGGGACGAUAAUGACGGUACCAGAGGAGGAAGCCACGGCUAACUACGUGCCAGCAGCCGCGGUAAUACGUAGGUGGCAAGCGUUGUCCGGAUUUACUGGGCGUAAAGGAUGCGUAGGCGGAUGUUUAAGUGAGAUGUGAAAUACCCGGGCUCAACUUGGGUGCUGCAUUUCAAACUGAAUAUCUAGAGUGCAGGAGAGGAAAGCGGAAUUCCUAGUGUAGCGGUGAAAUGCGUAGAGAUUAGGAAGAACACCAGUGGCGAAGGCGGCUUUCUGGACUGUAACUGACGCUGAGGCAUGAAAGCGUGGGGAGCAAACAGGAUUAGAUACCCUGGUAGUCCACGC